This 506-nucleotide ribosomal RNA is filed under the name uncultured bacterium. Its description in RNAcentral is "partial 16S ribosomal RNA". It matches the Rfam family "Bacterial small subunit ribosomal RNA", at positions 29 to 523 of the family's 1533-position model. The record is from RNAcentral.
AGUGAACGCUGGCGGUAGGCCUAACACAUGCAAGUCGAACGGCAGCACAGGAGAGCUUGCUCUCUGGGUGGCGAGUGGCGGACGGGUGAGGAAUACAUCGGAAUCUACUUUUUCGUGGGGGAUAACGUAGGGAAACUUACGCUAAUACCGCAUACGACCUACGGGUGAAAGCAGGGGAUCUUCGGACCUUGCGCGAUUGAAUGAGCCGAUGUCGGAUUAGCUAGUUGGCGGGGUAAAGGCCCACCAAGACGAAGAUCCGUAGCUGGUCUGAGGGGAUGAUAAGCCAAACUGGAACUGAGACACGGUCCAGACGCCUACGGGAGGCAGCAGUGGGGAAUAUUGGACAAUGGGCGCAAGCCUGAUCCAGCCAUACCGCGUGGGUGAAGAAGGCCUUCGGGUUGUAAAGCCCUUUUGUUGGGAAAGAAAUCCAGCUGGUUAAUACCCGGUUGGGAUGACGGUACCCAAAGAAUAAGCACCGGCUAACUUCGUGCCAGCAGCCGCCGUAA